This 275-nucleotide ribosomal RNA is filed under the name uncultured bacterium. RNAcentral's name for it is "partial 16S ribosomal RNA". It matches the Rfam family "Bacterial small subunit ribosomal RNA", at positions 523 to 796 of the family's 1533-position model. The record is from RNAcentral.
AGACGUAGGGCGCGAGCGUUAUCCGGAUUUAUUGGGCGUAAAGGGCUCGUAGGCGGUUAUGUAAGUCGGGUGUGAGAACUUGGGGCUUAACCCUGAGAGGCCAUUCGAUACUGCAUUGACUGGAGUUCGGUAGAGGAGUGUGGAAUUCCUAGUGUAGCGGUGAAAUGCGCAGAUAUUAGGAGGAACACCUAUUGCGAAGGCAGCACUCUGGGCCGAUACUGACGCUGAGGAGCGAAAGCGUGGGUAGCAAACAGGAUUAGAAACCCGAGUAGUCC